RNAcentral lists this unclassified non-coding RNA (553 nucleotides) under Hevea brasiliensis (rubber tree). The record is from RNAcentral. Lineage: Eukaryota; Viridiplantae; Streptophyta; Magnoliopsida; Malpighiales; Euphorbiaceae.
GGGGACGCUUAUAUCUCAUAUCUUACGACUUUCGGGAUACAAAGUUCAGGACUUCAGGUUAUUAAGUUAAGUAGCCAAGCUCUAGGACAAUUCACCAUUCGAAAACUCCACCCUACAGAAAGCUAUGAAAUGUAGAGUGUUGGACAGUGGUUAAAAGAAAAACGCAGAGUAAUUGAAAUGCAAGCGCAGUCAGAACUCAAGUGACUUCCAAGUGAAAAUGGUCACGUUUCAUGUUCUCAGGUUAAAAAAAUAGAAAAGGAAAAAUAUACAUGCCCGCCUUUCUUUUUCCCCUUAUUAAAUAAAUAAAAAGAAAAAAGAGGGGCUUGGCAGGCAGGGCAGUCCCCUGUUCUAUAUUAUCACACUCUGCAAUAACACAUUAAAACGGGAAUUCAUAAUCCAACACAUUUCACCUCAAAAAAAUCAAUAAUAUCCUGUUGCCAGCAUCACCUAGAUUAUUUUUGAUUUCUGCAAUUUUCCGGACAAGAGAACAAAAGACUGCAGAGAGAGUUCCGUUUCUGUUUAGGAUGCUGACUCCUUUGCAAUCUUAUCGGCC